RNAcentral lists this long non-coding RNA (1356 nucleotides) under Vigna radiata. RNAcentral's name for it is "long non-coding RNA (VRAD_LNC003898)". Lineage: Eukaryota; Viridiplantae; Streptophyta; Magnoliopsida; Fabales; Fabaceae. The record is from RNAcentral.
UAAAAUAAAUUAUCUCAUAAUAUAUAUCUGAGCAGUCUUCCUGCACCUCACCUCUUUCUUCCUGCACCUCCAAAAUUAUGUAUAUGUCCUUCAUUUAAUAUAAUAAAAUAAUUUUUCAUAUGCAGAAAAUGAAAAAAAAAUGGAAAACCCUAAAAACGCAUCACCGCAGCUCGCAACGAACCACAACUCAGGCACCCCCUCUGUCGCAGUUCGCAACGAAACGCAACUCAGGCACCCCCCUCUGUCGCAGUUCGCAACGAACCGCAACUCAGGCACCCCACUUCUUUUGUCGCAGCUCGCAACGAAUCGCAACUCAGGUACCCCCUUCCUCUGUCGCAGCUCGUGUUAUCGGCUAACAACUGUCGCGUCUCCCAACUGCGGCUACCCAUAGUCGCAUCUACCAAGUGCGGUUACGCACAACCGCACCUCCCAGGUGCGACACCCCUCAAUCGCGCCUCUCAGGUGCGGCACCUCUCAAUCGCGCCUCCCAGGUGCGGUUCUGCGCGAUCAGCGCACCUCCCUGCCUCAGACUGCCUCAAUCUGAAUCCAGAUCAAAUACCCGAAUAAUCCCCAAUUCAAUCCUAGCAGUAACAACAUCAAGCAUUCUAUAUGUUCUAUAAGUAACAACUGCGCGACCUCUCACAGCAUAUAAACAACAUAAUCAAAUAACCUAACCUAAUGUAACGCAGCUUCAAGAAAAACAACAUUUAACGCAACUAACCUGACGCCUGCUAGAACAAGUGCUAGAUCUCACCACCACAACACCAAAUAGCCACAACAACGAAAAGGAGCCAGUGAAAAUGAUGACAGACAGAAGAGGAAGCACAAUACCUGGUGGCGGUAAAAUGAGUGUUCCUGGGCAAAGUAAAAGAAAGAAGAAGGGGGUGUAGAGGUUUUAAGAUGUGAAAUGCGGUGGGUGGGAAAGGAGCAUACAGACUUUGCUUUUUCAAUGCAGGUCAGUUUUUUCAGUGUUUUUUGAAAAUCAAAAUAUUCUUUAUGGAGAUGAAAUUGGAAAUAUAAAAAGAAUGGAAGGUGCAGGACGAAGUGGGUGAGGUGUAGGGAGAACAUAUAAUUAAUAUAAAUAUUUGUACUAAUUAAACUAUGUAAAGGUAAAUCUUUUAUUUUCUCUUACCAAAAUUAAUAAACACAGGUAUUCGAAGACUAAAAUAAAGAAUUUCUUAAUUCCUUCCUUCUCCUUGGAAGCAGACUAAGCGGAAAAAGAAGACAUCAUCCUGCUACAACCACCAAUGCUUCGUGACAUGUUUAUUUAAACUCGUUUUAUAAUUGUACCAAAACAGAUAUCUCUACAUAAUAUAUUAAUCUUAUAAAAUAAAUUCCUUAAAACUCGAAACAAAC